AAUCAACGCUGGCGGCGUGCCUCAGACAUGCAAGUCGAACGGCUGCUGUUCGCCUUCGGGUGGACAGCGGAGUGGCGCACGGGUGAGUAACACGUAGGUAAUCUAACCUUUGGGUGGGAAUAACAGCCGGAAACGGCUGCUAAUACCGCAUAAUGCAGCGGCAUCACAUGAUGACAGUUCGUUAAAGCGGGGGAUCGUAAGACCUCGCGCCUGAAGAGGAGCCUGCGGCAGGAUUAGGUAGUUGGUGAGGUAAUGGCUCACCAAGGCCUGCGAUCUGUAACCGGCCUGAGGAGGGCGGUC
RNAcentral lists this ribosomal RNA (300 nucleotides) under uncultured bacterium. Its description in RNAcentral is "bacterial SSU rRNA". It matches the Rfam family "Bacterial small subunit ribosomal RNA", at positions 32 to 305 of the family's 1533-position model. The record is from RNAcentral.